CCAUGAAUCUGGUCUUGGGACACUGUCAGGUGGGCAGUUUGACUGGGGCGGUCGCCUCCCAAAAGGUAACGGAGGCGCUCAAAGGUUCUCUCAGUACGGUCGGAAAUCGUACGUAGAGUGUAAAGGCAAAAGAGAGCUUGAUUGCAAGACAUACAGGUCGAGCAAGGAUGAAAAUCGGACUUAGUGAUCCGGUGGUUCUGCGUGGAAGGGCCAUCGCUCAACGGAUAAAAGCUACCCUGGGGAUAACAGGCUUAUCUCCCCCAAGAGUCCACAUCGACGGGGAGGUUUGGCACCUCGAUGUCGGCUCAUCACAUCCUGGGGCUGUAGUAGGUCCCAAGGGUUGGGCUGUUCGCCCAUUAAAGUGGUACGCGAGCUGGGUUCAGAACGUCGUGAGACAGUUCGGUCCCUAUCCGUCGCAGGCGUAGGAAAUUUGAGAAGACCUGUCCUUAGUACGAGAGGACCGGGAUGGACGUACCUCUGGUGUACCAGUUGU
Molecule: ribosomal RNA, 493 nt
Filed under: Clostridioides difficile
Lineage: Bacteria; Bacillati; Bacillota; Clostridia; Peptostreptococcales; Peptostreptococcaceae
Description: bacterial LSU rRNA
Rfam family: Bacterial large subunit ribosomal RNA
Source: RNAcentral